Molecule: long non-coding RNA, 1134 nt
Organism: Gossypium raimondii (Peruvian cotton)
Lineage: Eukaryota; Viridiplantae; Streptophyta; Magnoliopsida; Malvales; Malvaceae
Exons: 2
Source: RefSeq, a predicted model, not a curated record
UUCGAACACGAAAUAGCUCCACUCAAUUUCACUUCAAUGAAUGCAUAGAGUAAAUUCUUCAAACAAAGUUACUAAAAGAGCAACAAUCAUGGGAAGCCACAAAUUAAAGAGGAAACCUCAAGAUAGUAUAAAAGAGAAUCAAAACAGAAAGACUCGGAUCUCGAUGCACCGCAGUUCUUAACCCAUACCAAGUUUUUAUGGAUUGAGCCCAUUUUCCUAGACACAAGAGCCCAGGCCUGGUUAAUAUCCACUGAAUCCAUUCCUUUUCUUCUGGAAAGUCCAAGGAUGGGAAAAGAAAAUAGAGGCAAGUCCAAAAAGAAAAGGGACUGGCAGAUUUGAUUUUGAUUUAUUGAUACCUGAUGGUGUUUAAUGUACGUCUCUUCUUCCACUUUUGCCAAAGCCCAAAGCUUCAAUCAUUUCAAAGGCUACAACCUUUGACGGUGAUGAUUGCCCGAUAUUUUCAGCUCUUGGCAACCAGUGAGACAAUCUCACUGGACUGGUGGUGUGCCAAACAGCAGAACUGACUGGUGCAUUGCAGUGAAAAAAAAAGUACCUUUAACUUCAACGCACUAGAGCCAAAAGCUAUGCCAAAGAAAGCUUAAAGAAGUGGCUAAAGCACCACCUCCUUGUUUAUUCUGCCAAGGGAGGAGGAAUUGACAUCGAAGUAGGCACGCGAACUGAAGAGGAGGCGGUGGUGAUGGGGAUAAUAGCGGUGGAAGUGACAGUUAGACUGAAGGAGGGAAGUUUUUGGAUGGCGGUAGUAUGAAAAAGAUUGUUUUGUCAAUGUCCCAAAGUUUGACAGGUGGUUAAGUGUGCUCACAUGUAGCGAACCAAAUCCGGAUGCGAAAAACAUUAUUUUGAUUCAUUCAGGUAGAUAUGUAAACGGGGAGGCGUUAUGGGGCUACAUGAAGAGCGGCAACCAAAAGUCGCCUCUUGCACGAGGGUUGUUACGUCUUUACUGAGCUACCCAUAAAACCACUUUUAGGCUCAUCCCUUGGGCUUGGUAAGUCCCUCCUUUUUCAUUAAUAGACCUCGGUAAUGUCUGUUUAUGUUGCAAAAGACGAGUAAUUUACGUCUCUAGUGUGUUAGAAGAGAUAAAAACCUGCCACUUAAUACAUCUUUUCUUUUUCUUCA